This 22-nucleotide microRNA is filed under the name Heligmosomoides polygyrus. RNAcentral's name for it is "hpo-miR-10049-5p". Lineage: Eukaryota; Metazoa; Nematoda; Chromadorea; Rhabditida; Heligmosomidae. The record is from miRBase by way of RNAcentral.
UGACUGUAGUACAUCGGAAGCU